AAGUCGUAACAAGGUUUCUGUAGGUGAACCUGCAGAAGGAUCAUUAGUGAAGAUUCAAGGGCCAGCCAUACAGACGUACAAUAAGUGUGUCUCUGGCGGCUCGCAUCCACUAUACAUCCAUAAACCCGUGUGCACUGUUCUAAGGAGUAAGAAAGAAGAAGAAGGGGAGGGGAGAGAGAGUGCAUGUGCUUUGCAUAUAACUCUCUCUCACUCUCCACUCUCUUUCUCUCUCCGGUUAAUUACAAACUCGUAUGGAUUUGUAUGAACGUGAGAUAUAUCGUUGGACCGUCACUGGCCAACAAAUAUAACACAACUUUCGACAACGGAUCUCUUGGUUCUCC
This 341-nucleotide unclassified non-coding RNA is filed under the name Malassezia globosa. Its description in RNAcentral is "partial internal transcribed spacer region". The stretch from base 1 to 46 matches the Rfam family "Eukaryotic small subunit ribosomal RNA", at positions 1786 to 1831 of the family's 1831-position model. The record is from RNAcentral. Lineage: Eukaryota; Fungi; Basidiomycota; Malasseziomycetes; Malasseziales; Malasseziaceae.